Molecule: non-coding RNA, 99 nt
Filed under: unclassified sequences
Description: c-di-GMP sequence
Rfam family: c-di-GMP-II-GAG riboswitch aptamer
Source: Rfam by way of RNAcentral
AGUGAGCGGCGAGGCAGUGACACCGGGGGGCGCAACGGUCACCCCGUCCACCUGGACGGGUCCCCUGGUCGAGCCAGUGGUGAGACCGACGCCCGCACG